Molecule: ribosomal RNA, 445 nt
Filed under: Lomis hirta
Lineage: Eukaryota; Metazoa; Arthropoda; Malacostraca; Decapoda; Lomidae
Description: partial 12S small subunit ribosomal RNA
Source: RNAcentral
AAGAGUGAAAUCAAAAUAUAAUUAUUAACAACAUCAUAAUAAAUGAAACUAUAAAAAUUAAAACACAAACUGAGAUUAGAUACCUCACUAUAUUUAAUAUUAAUCUUAACUCUUGAUUAUUAAUAGCUAUAAUCUUUAAAUUCAAAGAAUUUGGCGGUAUUUUAGCCUAGUUAGAGGAACCUGUUUUAUAAUCGACAAACCACGUUAAUUUUACUUGAGCCUGUAUACCGUCAUUAUUAGAUAACUUUUAAAGAAAUAGUUAUUAUAAUUAAACUCAAAUUAAAUAUAUUAGAUCAAGGCGCAGCUAAUAUGCAAGUAAAAAUGGGUUACAAUAAAACUUAUUUACCACGAAAUGUUAUACAUAAAGGAGGAUUUAAUUGUAAUUAUCUAUAAAAAGAUAUUUUGAUAUCAGCUCUAAAAUAUGUACAUAUCGCCCGUCGCUUUC